RNAcentral lists this ribosomal RNA (732 nucleotides) under uncultured bacterium. RNAcentral's name for it is "bacterial SSU rRNA". It matches the Rfam family "Bacterial small subunit ribosomal RNA", at positions 28 to 776 of the family's 1533-position model. The record is from RNAcentral.
GAUGAACGCUGACAGAAUGCUUAACACAUGCAAGUCUACUUGAAGCUAACUUCGGUUAGUGGAUGGUGGCGGACGGGUGAGUAACGCGUAAAGAACUUGCCUCACAGAUUGGGACAACAUUUGGAAACGAAUGCUAAUACCGGAUAUUAUGAUACUUCCGCAUGGAAGAAUCAUGAAAGCUAUAUGCGCUGUGAGAGAGCUUUGCGUCCCAUUAGCUAGUUGGAGAGGUAACGGCUCACCAAGGCGAUGAUGGGUAGCCGGCCUGGGAGGGUGAACGGCCACAAGGGGACUGAGACACGGCCCUUACUCCUACGGGAGGCAGCAGUGGGGAAUAUUGGACAAUGGACCAAAAGUCUGAUCCAGCAAUUCUGUGUGCACGAUGAAGUUUUUCGGAAUGUAAAGUGCUUUCAGUUGGGAAGAAGCAAGUGACGGUACCAACAGAAGAAGCGACGGCUAAAUACGUGCCAGCAGCCGCGGUAAUACGUAUGUCGCAAGCGUUAUCCGGAUUUAUUGGGCGUAAAGCGCGUCUAGGUGGUUAUAUAAGUCUGAUGUGAAAAUGCGGGGCUCAACUCCGUAUUGCGUUGGAAACUGUAUGACUAGAGUACUGGAGAGGUAAGCGGAACUACAAGUGUAGAGGUGAAAUUCGUAGAUAUUUGUAGGAAUGCCGAUGGGGAAGCCAGCUUACUGGACAGAUACUGACGCUAAAGCGCGAAAGCGUGGGUAGCAAACAGG